RNAcentral lists this ribosomal RNA (254 nucleotides) under uncultured bacterium. RNAcentral's name for it is "partial 16S ribosomal RNA". It matches the Rfam family "Bacterial small subunit ribosomal RNA", at positions 524 to 776 of the family's 1533-position model. The record is from RNAcentral.
UACGGGGGGAGCAAGCGUUGUUCGGAUUUACUGGGCGUAAAGGGCGCGUAGGCGGCCAGCACAAGUCAGUUGUGAAAUCUCCGGGCUUAACUCGGAAAGGUCAACUGAUACUGUGCGGCUAGAGUGCAGAAGGGGCAACUGGAAUUCUCGGUGUAGCGGUGAAAUGCGUAGAUAUCAGGAAGAACACCCGUGGCGAAAGCGGCUCUCUGGGACGGUACUGACGCUGAGACGCGAAAGCGUGGGGAGCGAACAGG